Molecule: ribosomal RNA, 253 nt
Filed under: uncultured bacterium
Lineage: Bacteria
Description: partial 16S ribosomal RNA
Rfam family: Bacterial small subunit ribosomal RNA
Source: RNAcentral
UACGGGGGGGGCAAGCGCUGUUCGGAAUUACUGGGCGUAAAGGGCGCGUAGGCGGGUGGACAAGUCUCUCGUGAAAGCCCACGGCUCAAGCGUGGAAUUGCGGGAGAUACUGUCUGUCUCGAGUCCGGGAGAGGAGGGUGGAAUUCCCAGUGUAGCGGUGAAAUGCGUAGAUAUUGGGAGGAACACCGGUGGCGAAGGCUGCUCUCUGGACCGGUACUGACGCUGAGGCUCGAAAGCUCGGGGAGCAAACGGG